UGAGGAAUAUUGGUCAAUGGGCGAGAGCCUGAACCAGCCAAGUAGCGUGCAGGAUGACGGCCCUAUGGGUUGUAAACUGCUUUUAUAUGGGAAUAAAGUGAGGGACGUGUCCCUUAUUGCAUGUACCAUACGAAUAAGGACCGGCUAAUUCCGUGCCAGCAGCCGCGGUAAUACGGAAGGUCCAGGCGUUAUCCGGAUUUAUUGGGUUUAAAGGGAGCGUAGGCUGUUUGUUAAGCGUGUUGUGAAAUGUAGGAGCUCAACUUUUAGAUUGCAGCGCGAACUGGCAGACUUGAGUGCGCACAACGUAGGCGGAAUUCAUGGUGUAGCGGUGAAAUGCUUAGAUAUCAUGACGAACUCCGAUUGCGAAGGCAGCUUACGGGAGCGCAACUGACGCUAAAGCUCGAAGGUGCGGGUAUCAAACAGG
RNAcentral lists this ribosomal RNA (424 nucleotides) under Verrucomicrobiota bacterium. Its description in RNAcentral is "Verrucomicrobia bacterium partial 16S ribosomal RNA". It matches the Rfam family "Bacterial small subunit ribosomal RNA", at positions 355 to 776 of the family's 1533-position model. Lineage: Bacteria; Pseudomonadati; Verrucomicrobiota. The record is from RNAcentral.